CAUUUUUUCCAAUUUCGACACUUUUUACCCCCAAUAUUUGUGUAAGAACAUCGAGAUCAACUGCCUGCACUUCCUCAAUAGUUUGUAUCGGACUACUCUAACGUAACCGAAGUAAACUCUCUCCUUUUACACGAGAAGAUCCCGCGGGAUGUUGCUAUGGCUACUGCAUCGAUUGCGCCAGUCGAGACGUGAUGUCAUCGAAAUGGAGAAGAAUUAUUGGACGAAAAUAUUUUAAAAUCAGCUACUCCGAACACAUAAAAGAAGAGAAUUUGCAAAGUAUUUAAAUUUUUCUUGUAGAUAAAAACACUAAAAAAACUAUCUAACAGAAACAUCGCUAUUCCAUCUCUAAGAUCUAAAUGUAUUAGAUUUUAAGUGUACGUAUUUAUCACAUUCGGCUACGCAUUUGAGCAAUUUAAAUUGUUCAGAUGCAUAGAGAAUGGGAUAAAUACAUGGAAAUUCGUUUCCUUCAUUAUCCAUCUAAUUUUGAGACUGCAGUUACGAAAAAAAUCUCCCUACAAAAAACAGAAUCUCACGAGGAAAUGAUAACCAAUGCAAUCAAAGAAAGAUCCGCGAAGUAAUUCCAUCUGUCCUAUUGUGAACAAAUAUAUAUCCAGUUAGCCAGCAUAAAUCUUAACUUUCUGACGGUAUCAGACAGUCACGAUCCUAUCAUUAACGACUGAGGUAAAAAUAUUGUCGAUCGAGUGUGGUUGCAUACAAAAUCUUUUAUAAUAUUUUGUUAACGUUCUGAAUUCGUGUAGAAAUCGAAAAGAAACCCUUAGGGACGAUUGGUGACUAGUCCGUCAAAAUCCCUCCUACCGUUUCCCCCUUCGCCCCCGACUGUCCAAAAUCCAAUAAAUGAUAAUUAACAGUACACUGUAGACAAUAUAUGACUCAGUAUUCUCAGCAGGGAACUUUCCAAUGUUGUAAAUCCCACCUAUAGAUGUUGCAUGAGUCACUCACAUCCUUCAGGUAAAUAACUAAUAAACUUUUCGUUAUUAUUUUGAAACUGUAUUGUCAUCUUCGACCUUGUUUUGUAAUAUUUUCAAUUUGAACUAUUAUUUUUUUCAAUUUUAAAAAAUUUCGUCUUAAAUAUUAAUAGAAUCUUUUCAUAUAUUACGAAAAUUUGAUAUUGGGAUACGCUAUUGGUUGAUUAGAUGCGUUAAAAUCAAAUUUGACCAAUCGCCUGGAGUUUUACCAAUUUCCACCGAUGGAAUUUUAACAGAUGUACAGUACGUAUUCAGCUUUACUGCAGCGGAAUGUUUUUCUUCUUAUUUUAAAUUAAAGUUUGAAUUUAAUUUAAAAUUGAAAAUAAAAAAAUUAAGAUAGUGUAACUAAAAGUUAUUUUCACGCACAAAAAAAGAAAGAAAAUGAUUUAUUCAUAGAAAAAUUAUACAUUAUUAAUGUGAGAUAUAGCGAUGUCGAAAUUAAACAAUGUAUAAAAAUAAUGUAAAUAAAAAUUUUUUCAGCGUUUAAUUUUAUGUGAAAGUAUGAAAUUGAAAUAUUCUUCGAUGCGCCUUAAGCAAUAUAAAAAUUUGCAUUAUUAAAUAUAAUGAAGCAGGUGUUAUAAAGAAUUUUUCUCUAUCAUUGAAGGAUUUAAAGUGAAAAAUAAUAGCAGAAAAUACACUCUACAAUGUCCUUUUUUCAAUUUUUUUUUACAAAUUAUCUUAUUUUAUUCAAAUUCUAAUUAGUUAACCAAUGUACUAAAACUAUGUAACUACUGAAAGUACUUAAAUUUGGAAUUAUAUGUUUAUGUUCGAGUUAAACACUGCUAUCUACGAGUUAAUUUUAAAUAUAUUAUAUACAUAACAAUAGAAUUAAAUUAAAAAUCGACGUAUAAAUUAGAAUUAUGUAUCUUACAACUAAAGGAUAAUUAAAUUAAAUAAAAGCAUUGUUGAUCUUAUUAAACGAUUUAAUUUUUAUAGCUCAGAAACCAAAUCCAUCACUUUUAGCAAAGGAAAAUCAUCAUCAAAAUUAUAUGUUAAUUUAUAUUAUUA
RNAcentral lists this long non-coding RNA (1994 nucleotides) under Centruroides sculpturatus (bark scorpion). RNAcentral's name for it is "uncharacterized LOC111612510". The record is from RNAcentral. Lineage: Eukaryota; Metazoa; Arthropoda; Arachnida; Scorpiones; Buthidae.